GACGAACGCUGGCGGCGUGCCUAAUACAUGCAAGUAGAACGCACAGUUUAUACCGUAGCUUGCUACACCAUAGACUGUGAGUUGCGAACGGGUGAGUAACGCGUAGGUAACCUGCCUGGUAGCGGGGGAUAACUAUUGGAAACGAUAGCUAAUACCGCAUACUAUUGAUUAUUGCAUGAUAAUUGAUUGAAAGAUGCUAUUGCAUCACUACCAGAUGGACCUGCGUUGUAUUAGCUAGUAGGUGAGGUAACGGCUCACCUAGGCGACGAUACAUAGCCGACCUGAGAGGGUGAUCGGCCACACUGGGACUGAGACACGGCCCAGACUCCUACGGGAGGCAGCAGUAGGGAAUCUUCGGCAAUGGACGAAAGUCUGACCGAGCAACGCCGCGUGAGUGAAGAAGGUUUUCGGAUCGUAAAGCUCUGUUGUAAGAGAAGAACGGGUGUGAGAGUGGAAAGUUCACACUGUGACGGUAUCUUACCAGAAAGGGACGGCUAACUACGUG
This 505-nucleotide ribosomal RNA is filed under the name uncultured bacterium. Its description in RNAcentral is "partial 16S ribosomal RNA". It matches the Rfam family "Bacterial small subunit ribosomal RNA", at positions 28 to 507 of the family's 1533-position model. The record is from RNAcentral.